RNAcentral lists this ribosomal RNA (432 nucleotides) under uncultured bacterium. Its description in RNAcentral is "partial 16S ribosomal RNA". It matches the Rfam family "Bacterial small subunit ribosomal RNA", at positions 29 to 507 of the family's 1533-position model. The record is from RNAcentral.
ACGAACGCUGGCGGCAGGCUUAACACAUGCAAGUCGAACGGAUCCUUCGGGAUUAGUGGCAGACGGGUGAGUAACGCGUGGGAACGUACCCUUUGCUACGGAAUAACUCAGGGAAACUUGAGCUAAUACCGUAUGUGCCCUACGGGGGAAAGAUUUAUCGGCAAAGGAUCAGCCCGCGUUGGAUUAGCUAGUUGGUGGGGUAAUGGCCUACCAAGGCGACGAUCCAUAGCUGGUCUGAGAGGAUGAUCAGCCACACUGGGACUGAGACACGGCCCAGACUCCUACGGGAGGCAGCAGUGGGGAAUAUUGGACAAUGGGCGCAAGCCUGAUCCAGCCAUGCCGCGUGAGUGAUGAAGGUCUUAGGAUUGUAAAGCUCUUUCACCGGUGAAGAUAAUGACGGUAGCCGGAGAAGAAGCCCCGGCUAACUUCGUG